This 327-nucleotide long non-coding RNA is filed under the name Nicotiana benthamiana. Its description in RNAcentral is "long non-coding RNA (NBEN_LNC021456)". Lineage: Eukaryota; Viridiplantae; Streptophyta; Magnoliopsida; Solanales; Solanaceae. The record is from RNAcentral.
UACCCGUAACUCAAUUCAUUAAUAAAUGAAGUGAUUAAAAGGUAAAUAAACAUAGGUCCUAAAAUAAGUAAUUAGAAAAUUUAAGCCAAGUAAUAAUUCCUAAGAGACCAUGCUAGAACCAUAGAAUCCGGGAAUACCUAACACCUUCUCCUAGGUUAAAAGAAUUCCUUAUCUAGAAUUUCUGGUUCGUAGACUUUUAAAUAAAGUCGAAAGUUUCCUCGAUUUGGGAUAUAAAAAUGAACUGGUGACUUGGGACACCAUAAUUAUCUCAACUGGCGACUCUAAAAUUAAUUAAAUAAUCACAUUUCGAAUAAUGUCACUUUAAUU